Molecule: unclassified non-coding RNA, 331 nt
Filed under: soil metagenome
Description: partial contains 5.8S ribosomal RNA, internal transcribed spacer 2, and large subunit ribosomal RNA
Rfam family: 5.8S ribosomal RNA (bases 1-120)
Source: RNAcentral
GAUGAAGAACGCAGCGAAAUGCGAUAAGUAAUGUGAAUUGCAGAAUUCAGUGAAUCAUCGAAUCUUUGAACUCACAUUGCGCCCCCUGGUAUUCCGGGGGGCAUGCCUGUUCGAGCGUCAUUUCACCACUCAAGCCUCGCUUGGUAUUGGGCAACGCGGUCCGCCGCGUGCCUCAAAUCGACCGGCUGGGUCUUCUGUCCCCUAAGCGUUGUGGAAACUAUUCGCUAAAGGGUGUUCGGGAGGCUACGCCGUAAAACAACCCCAUUUCUAAGGUUGACCUCGGAUCAGGUAGGGAUACCCGCUGAACUUAAGCAUAUCAAUAAGCGGAGGA